ACUCCUACGGGAGGCAGCAGUGGGGAAUUUUGGACAAUGGGCGCAAGCCUGAUCCAGCAAUGCCGCGUGAGUGAAGAAGGCCUUCGGGUUGUAAAGCUCUUUCAGUCGAGAAGAAAGGGCUGCAGUGAAUAACUGUAGUUUAUGACGGUAUCGACAGAAGAAGCACCGGCUAACUACGUGCCAGCAGCCGCGGUAAU
This 197-nucleotide ribosomal RNA is filed under the name uncultured beta proteobacterium. RNAcentral's name for it is "partial 16S ribosomal RNA". It matches the Rfam family "Bacterial small subunit ribosomal RNA", at positions 335 to 524 of the family's 1533-position model. Lineage: Bacteria; Pseudomonadati; Pseudomonadota; Betaproteobacteria. The record is from RNAcentral.